UCCACGCCACUCUUUUGCCUUGACCCCCUCUCUCUUUCGUCACUUUCAUUCCUCUGCCUCUCUCUCCCUCCUCGACGAAGCCCUAAUGCUCUCAGUAAGGUAUGGUGUACUGACAAAGGCUUCUGGGGACUUGCCGAUGCGGAGGCUCGACAUGCUCAACAACGCAUGGCUGGCGAUGGGGAUGUGGUAUGGUGGACGAUGGAGGCUGGAAACAUGGCUGGGUUUGAAGCUUAGAGCUAGGUUGAUGUUUGAGGGUUGGUUAAUUUGUAGAGAAAGGGUCGAGAAGAAAGGGAGAGAGCAUUGUUUGUCAAGAUUAAUGCAGAUUGGGACUGGUUUAUCACAUUAAGUGCUGCUGAUUAUCCACUCAUGACUCAGGAUCGUAUUGAUUAUAUUCUUUAGGUUGUGGAUCGAAUUGGCAAGGAGCAUUGCAAAGUUAAUUUGCAAGAGGUACGGAAUUUGUUCUUUUAACUCUUAUUAUUAAUAUCUUAAAAAUGUUAGAGGAGUUUGAAUAUCUUAAAUAUUCAUCCAUAGAGAAGUAGGUUCUGAGAUUAAAAUUGUGUGUUGCGGUGAUAACGGAAGGUUGAAAACUUGUGUGUAUUAGAGAAGUAGGUUCUGGAAAAUUUGUUUGUGUGCUGCGGUGAUAUAAGGAAGAAAACUUAUU
Molecule: long non-coding RNA, 661 nt
Organism: Humulus lupulus (European hop)
Lineage: Eukaryota; Viridiplantae; Streptophyta; Magnoliopsida; Rosales; Cannabaceae
Exons: 3
Source: RefSeq, a predicted model, not a curated record